Molecule: ribosomal RNA, 491 nt
Filed under: uncultured bacterium
Lineage: Bacteria
Description: partial 16S ribosomal RNA
Rfam family: Bacterial small subunit ribosomal RNA
Source: RNAcentral
GUGAACGCUGGCGGUAGGCCUAACACAUGCAAGUCGAACGGCAGCACAGUAAGCGCUUGCUCUUACGGGUGGCGAGUGGCGGACGGGUGAGGAAUACAUCGGAAUCUACUUUUUCGUGGGGGAUAACGUAGGGAAACUUACGCUAAUACCGCAUACGACCUACGGGUGAAAGCAGGGGAUCUUCGGACCUUGCGCGAUUGAAUGAGCCGAUGUCGGAUUAGCUAGUUGGCGGGGUAAAGGCCCACCGAGGCGACGAUCCGUAGCUGGUCUGAGAGGAUGAUCAGCCACACUGGAACUGAGACACGGUCCAGACUCCUACGGGAGGCAGCAGUGGGGAAUAUUGGACAAAGGGCGCAAGCCUGAUCCAGCCAUACCGCGUGGGUGAAGAAGGCCUUCGGGUUGUAAAGCCCUUUUGUUGGGAAAGAAAAGCAGCAGGUUAAUACCCCGCUGUUCUGACGGUACCCAAAGAAUAAGCACCGGCUAACUUCGUG